AUGGGUGGCAAGUCUAGCAAAUAUGACAACAAUCUGGUGCACGACAAUAAAAUGGGUGAUGAGUCUAGCAAAUAUGACAACAAUCUGGUGCAGGACAAUAAAAUGAGUGGCGAGUCUAGCAAAUAUGACAACAAUCUGGUGCAGGACAAUAAAACGGAUGGCGAGUCUAGCAAAUAUGACAACGAUCCGGACAGGAUGUUAUGCGACCAAACAUCACCACCAGCAAAGUUACCAUUUCAGUAUCUGAAAACGAUCACAAACAACUUCUCUGAUACAUAUGCUAUCGGGAGGGGUGGUUCGGGUGUGGUAUACAAGGGAAGGAUGAGUAAUGGAGAAUUCGUUGCUGUGAAGAAACUUCAACUGUCAUUGCCGAGCUUUCAGAAGCAGUUUGAGAAUGAGGUGUGUCAUCUGAUGUACCUUAAUCACCCGAAUAUAGUGCGACUUCGAGGGUACUGCUACGAAACACAGAAUGUAUUUGUAGAGCACAAUGGGAAUUUCGUCUGUGCGGAGAUGUCAGAAAGGCUGCUUUGCUUGCAAUAUUAUCCUAAGGGAAGCCUUGCUGGUUAUAUUUCAGAUGAAUCUUCUGGACUUGAGUGGGACACCCGGUAUAACAUAAUUGUCGGUAUUAUCUAUGGUUUAAAGUACCUUCAUGAGGAAAAAGUUAAGCCCGUGCUCCAUAUGGACCUAAAGCCGGCCAACAUAUUGCUGGAUGAUGCUAUGAAGCCAAAGAUUACAGACUUCGGUCUUUCAAGACUACUCGAUCAACAGCAAACUUUAAGCACUUCAAGUCGUGAUGGAACACUGGGUUACAUGGCACCAGAAUACCUACAUGCAGGUACGGUCACAGCUAAAUCAGACAUAUUCAGUUUGGGUGUAAUAAUUUUGGAGGUAAUAACAGGACACAAGGACUACCCAGAUGUUACAAGAACAUCCUCCGAGAGAUUUGUGGAGCUUACCCUUGAUAAAUGGAGGUCGAGAAAUCCAUUGAACAAAUCACCAGGCUAUAUACCGAAAAUAAGAAGAUGCAUUGAGAUAGGUCUAGCAUGUGUGAAUCUUGAGCGGAAGGGAAGGCCAUCAACAGGCGAGCUUAUCAAGUUGCUACAAGGAAGAAUGACGCUAGACGAGGUAUAG
This 1131-nucleotide ribosomal RNA is filed under the name Triticum aestivum (bread wheat). RNAcentral describes it as "partial small subunit ribosomal RNA". Lineage: Eukaryota; Viridiplantae; Streptophyta; Magnoliopsida; Poales; Poaceae. The record is from RNAcentral.